This 928-nucleotide long non-coding RNA is filed under the name Sinocyclocheilus grahami. RNAcentral describes it as "lncRNA (ENSSGRG00000046713.1)". Lineage: Eukaryota; Metazoa; Chordata; Actinopteri; Cypriniformes; Cyprinidae. The record is from RNAcentral.
UGCUAGGGAUCCUGGUGGUGUUGGACCAGGUGGUAUUGUCCCUGGUGGUGUUGGACCAGGUGGUAUUGUCCCUGGUGGUGUUGGACCAGGUGGCUUCAGGCCAGGUGGCAUUGUCCCUGGUGGUGUUGGACCAGGUGUCUUGAGUCCUGGAGCAGGCAGAAAACCUGGGAAACCAGGUUAUGGUGGGCCUGGGGGUUUUGGUGGUGGACCGUUUGGAACAGGAAGUCUUGGAGCAGGUGCUAUUCCACUUACACCUGGAGGUGCUGGAACAGGCUAUCCAUCAGGUGGUAGCUAUAGUGGAUAUGGUACUUAUCCUGGAGCUGGAACAAUUGGUCAGAAACCACCAAAACCAGGUAAAGCUAGAUAUAUGGACAUGAGUAUUGGCUUAAAUGAAGGUGUGAAACUUGAAUACACUUUUUCAAAAAACAUUUAAAUUGUAUCAACACAUGCUGGAUUUGAUGAAAUAGGAAUUGGACCUGGAGGUGUAGGAAUUGGUCCAGGCGGCACAGGACUUAGACCUGGGGGUGCGGGAGUUCUGCCUGGAGGUGUAGGAAUUGGACCGGGUGGCACAGGAAUUGGACCAGGUGGUGCAGGAAUUGGUCCAGGUGGCACAGGAAUUGGACCAGGUGGAGCUGGAUUUGGACCUGGAGGUGUAGGAAUUGGACCUGGUGGCACUGGAACUGGAAUUGGAGGAGCAGGAGUUGCACCUGGUGGAGGUAGGUUUUGAGGGACAUAAUUGUUAAGCUACUGCUGUUUGCAGUUACUUGCAACUUUUAACCUUUGCAUCUUUUCAAUCCAUUUUGGCUCCUAGCACCUUUUCUCCCUCAAACUGGCUUAGCAGGAACUGGAACUGGGACAGGCGCUGGGGGAAAAGUCGGAAAGUUUGGGAAGGCGCCAGUGCCAGGUAACUGUGUCUAUUAAUGGAGCU